CUCCCCGGCAACCGCACCAAAUUUAAUAUCACUCAAAUUACCCUAAAGAGUGAUUUUACUCUCUCAAAUAAGAGGUCGAAUUGUAGCACUUAGGGAUCAAAUCCGUAGAGAGCUAGAGCACACAAUAUACUAUAGAAAUCAAGAUUAAGCUAGGCAAACAGUUUAUCUCGCCGGUGGAUUUUACUCUUAUACCAAGAACCACAUCCAAUUUUCUCUACAUAAUUUCAUGGGAUUUUUGGUGGUUUAUCUUCAUGUUCAUCAACCGUUGUGGCCAUUAUGAAAAAUCUCCGGUCCUCUCGGACUGUUCACUGGCUACACAUCACUUCUUUAAGGAUUGAAGUUCUUCAAACUAGCUAGCACACAUACAUCUUGAUAGCUGGGAAGUUUCAUUGAAAUCUAUGAAGAGCAUUGAGAUGGGAAUGGGUAAUGAUCAGUCGUAUAUCAUCUUGUUCGCCACUUUACUACUCCUUACCACAUAACUUUUAACCCUAACCACCACUUCAGCCGUUCCCCACAGACCCUCUAACCUUUACCACAAUUCCUCGGCCUUUAACCACAAAACUUCUAAUCCAAACUACAAGCAUACAGACCCUUCAAUCCACAACAAUUCUGACCACAAUAACCACCAAAACACUGUGUCGUCUUACCGAAACACCUAUAGCCCUGUCCACAUCAAUAUUUCUCAUGACCACGUAACCUAUAAUCUUGACCACACAACUUCAUCAUCUACAAACACCAACCAUUAGAUUAAUCUAAAAAUAAAACAAUCUAACGGUUAGGGAAGC
This 785-nucleotide long non-coding RNA is filed under the name Brassica napus (rape). Its description in RNAcentral is "long non-coding RNA (BNAP_LNC011805)". The record is from RNAcentral. Lineage: Eukaryota; Viridiplantae; Streptophyta; Magnoliopsida; Brassicales; Brassicaceae.